Molecule: ribosomal RNA, 375 nt
Filed under: uncultured bacterium
Lineage: Bacteria
Description: bacterial SSU rRNA
Rfam family: Bacterial small subunit ribosomal RNA
Source: RNAcentral
UACGUAGGGAGCAAGCGUUGUCCGGAUUUACUGGGUGUAAAGGGUGCGUAGGCGGCUUUACAAGUCAGGCGUGAAAUAUAUGGGCUUAACCCAUAGACUGCGUUUGAAACUGUAGAGCUUGAGUGAAGUAGAGGUAGGCGGAAUUCCCGGUGUAGCGGUGAAAUGCGUAGAGAUAGGGAGGAACACCAGUGGCGAAGGCGGCCUACUGGGCUUUAACUGACGCUGAGGCACGAAAGCAUGGGUAGCAAACAGGAUUAGAUACCCUGGUAGUCCAUGCCGUAAACGAUGAUUACUAGGUGUGGGGGGUCUGACCCCUUCCGUGCCGGAGUUAACACAAUAAGUAAUCCACCUGGGGAGUACGGCCGCAAGGUUGAA